GAUGAAGAACGCAGCGAAAUGCGAUAAGUAGUGUGAAUUGCAGAAUUUAGUGAAUCAUCGAAUCUUUGAACGCACAUUGCGCCCGCGAGUAUUCUCGCGGGCAUGCCUGUCCGAGCGUCAUUUCAACCCUCAGGGCCCGCCUGCUUGCAGGCGCGGCGCUGGUGUUGGGGAUCGGCUACCCUGCCGUCCCCCAAAUACAGUGGCGGUCUCGCUGCAGCCUCCCCUGCGUAGUAGCAACACUCGCAUGCGGAGCGCGGCGCGGCCACGCCGUAAAACCCCCGACUUUCUGAACGUUGACCUCGGAUCAGGUAGGAAUACCCGCUGAACUUAAGCAUAUCAAUAAGCGGAGGA
RNAcentral lists this unclassified non-coding RNA (351 nucleotides) under soil metagenome. Its description in RNAcentral is "partial contains 5.8S ribosomal RNA, internal transcribed spacer 2, and large subunit ribosomal RNA". The stretch from base 1 to 120 matches the Rfam family "5.8S ribosomal RNA", at positions 35 to 154 of the family's 154-position model. The record is from RNAcentral.